CUGUGUAGUGCGCGGCCGCGUGCACGGCAGAGAGGGGGAGACCUCGCACUCGACAUGUUAGAAACGCAUGUAAUUCCCGGUGGGCGGGUUGUGAUAUGUCCCGGUUUUUUAUCAGACAUAGGUGGCAACCGUAUGUUCCUGUUUAAUAUUUUAAAUGGUCAAUAUUUUUAAAUUCCAGUUGCAUUCUUGAUAUGUGUGAUAAUUGACUGCAACAGACAGCUAGUCUUGACGACUAACUUGGUGCUUUUGCUAUCACAGAGUGACUGAUCAUUUAGGCUAACGUUAGGUCUAAGUUAGUUUCCAUUCAAAGCACGUGUGCCAUCGUGUUAGCAGCUAGUACUUUGCACAAGUACUUUUAAGAAAACCCUAAUAAAUACUGAAGUAUGGCUGUUCUGUGUAUAGAACUAUGAGUUAUUUAUGCAUUUGUAUUUGUUUGUAUUUCAGGUAUUUUUUCAGACUUAAAGCUAAAUGCAGUGCCGCUAUUGUACAUUUUCAUCUGCAGCAAGACACAGGCUACAGACUUCAUCAUUGGCAAGUAGGUAAAUGUUCUUUUCCCUGCAUUCAUCCAGACUGUGUUUGUAUUUUUACAACACACGCACACACACCAGCGCCCCACACGCACACUAAUGACACAUGAUUUGGAUAUUUUUGUGUUUUUUGGAAAAAUGGGAUUAAAUGGGUUAAUAAUGUCUUAUUGAUGACCUGUGUUUUUGGCAGACCACAGAUCUAACUAUUUAUAGGUUUGCUGUUCUUCGUGGUCUUCCCCUGUACUUGAGAGAGCCAGCUUCAAUUUCAAAGACUAUUAAGAAUACUGAGGCACUGGGGCCACACACAAAGGCCAUGAAAAUGGGGAUCCUGGAAGUGACUGACUGAAGUGACUGACAACACAAACUUUUUUUUGGAUGCGAUUAAUCGUUGCCCAUCCCUACAAAGCAUUCAUCCCUGAGAAAUAUUAGAAUGUUUAAUUUUUUAAAGUAGAGAUUUAUUUUGCCAAUAGAACUGUUUUAAUGUACAUAGUGACAUAUGUAACCUGAAAGUAGUGGGCAGUACUUUGUAUUUUAUUUUUUCCAUGUAAUGUACAGUAAUUGCCCUUAGUCUUAGACUAACAGACUAAAAAUGUCAUAUGUUUACAGGCAAAGCCACUGUCAUGUUUUACUGAGUAAAGCAGAUAUUUGUUGUACAGCUAUUGACUAAGUUAUAUGCCAUGCUUUCUUGAACUCUCAGAUCUUGUUUCGGCACUAUUUGAAUACUUGUGUAAUAUUUUACUUGAGACUAACAGGCAAGUCUUUUGUAUUUUAAUAAAUGCAUAAAAUGUACUCUA
Non-coding RNA from Pimephales promelas (fathead minnow), 1321 nucleotides. Lineage: Eukaryota; Metazoa; Chordata; Actinopteri; Cypriniformes; Leuciscidae. The record is from RefSeq and is a predicted model, not a curated record.